RNAcentral lists this ribosomal RNA (230 nucleotides) under uncultured bacterium. Its description in RNAcentral is "partial 16S ribosomal RNA". It matches the Rfam family "Bacterial small subunit ribosomal RNA", at positions 118 to 348 of the family's 1533-position model. The record is from RNAcentral.
UGAGCAAUCUGCCCUUCUCAUCGGAAUAAGCGUUGGAAACGACGUCUAAUGCCGAAUACGACCUCCUUUCGCAUGAUCGGAGGUGGAAAGCUCCGGCGGAGAAGGAUGAGCUCGCGGCCUAUCAGCUAGUUGGUAUGAGUAAUGGCCCACCAAGGCGACGACGGGUAGCCGGCCUGAGAGGGUGACCGGCCACACUGGGACUGAGACACGGCCCAGACUCCGUAGGGAGG